This 468-nucleotide ribosomal RNA is filed under the name uncultured bacterium. RNAcentral's name for it is "partial 16S ribosomal RNA". It matches the Rfam family "Bacterial small subunit ribosomal RNA", at positions 28 to 507 of the family's 1533-position model. The record is from RNAcentral.
GACGAACGCUGGCGGCGUGCUUAACACAUGCAAGUCGAACGGAAGGGCCCUGCUUUUGUGGGGUGCUCGAGUGGCGAACGGGUGAGUAACACGUGAGUAACCUGCCCUUGACUUUGGGAUAACUUCAGGAAACUGGGGCUAAUACCGGAUAGGAGCUCCUGCUGCAUGGUGGGGGUUGGAAAGUUUCGGCGGUUGGGGAUGGACUCGCGGCUUAUCAGCUUGUUGGUGGGGUAGUGGCUUACCAAGGCUUUGACGGGUAGCCGGCCUGAGAGGGUGACCGGCCACAUAGGGACUGAGAUACGGCCCAGACUCCUACGGGAGGCAGCAGUGGGGAAUAUUGCACAAUGGGCGGAAGCCUGAUGCAGCAACGCCGCGUGCGGGAUGACGGCCUUCGGGUUGUAAACCGCUUUCGCCUGUGACGAAGCGUGAGUGACGGUAAUGGGUAAAGAAGCACCGGCUAACUACGUG